Molecule: ribosomal RNA, 1318 nt
Filed under: Modiolus nipponicus
Lineage: Eukaryota; Metazoa; Mollusca; Bivalvia; Mytilida; Modiolidae
Description: large subunit ribosomal RNA
Rfam family: Bacterial large subunit ribosomal RNA (bases 914-1261)
Source: RNAcentral
AGCGCAGGAUUAAUAACGUAAGUGACAUAAUAAAAUAAUAUAGAACCUUUAAACAAGGGUACCUUUUGUAUAAGCGUUGUGUUAGAAUAUGUAAAUAUAUCUUUGUUCCCCGAUAAUGAGGAAUUUAACUUUUGAGGAAGUUAUUGUUGCAAAAAUAACAGAGACAAGAGGUUAAAGGCUAUAUACUAUAUUGCCCUCGUUGGUAUCUGGUUUCCCUUAAAAUACAUUUAGUGUAGCCUUGAAUCAAAGUGUGAGAAUUUAUAAGAUAAGUUAUGAGUUCAGUAAGUUGAUUAAUAAUGUUUUCAGGCAGAGUGAGUGGGUUUAAUACUAAUUCGCCUAAUAGAUUGUUACAAACAACCCUGCAAAUUAAGACAAUUAGUUCUUUAAUCACAAGUUAAAGGGGCAUGUUCAAAUAGUCCAUUAACUAUGCAUAAAUCAGUAGAGCAGUAGUUAUCACUAUUUUAUUAAGUAUAAAAAAUAAAAGUACAGGUUUAUGUGUUUAUUAACUUUUUUUAAUGAUCUCGGCAAAUAAAAUCUCAAAUGUUUAACAAAAACAUUUCUUCUUUUCUUUAAUCACAAGUUAAAGGGGCAUGUUCAAAUAGUCCAUUAACUAUGCAUAAAUCAGUAGAGCAGUAGUUAUCACUAUUUUAUUAAGUAUAAAAAAUAAAAGUACAGGUUUAUGUGUUUAUUAACUUUUUUUAAUGAUCUCGGCAAAUAAAAUCUCAAAUGUUUAACAAAAACAUUUCUUCUUGUAGUUAGUAAGAAGUAUCCCCUGCCCGGUGCUAUGCGUAGUUAACGGCUGCAUUAAUGUGAGUGUACUAAGGUAGCGUAGUAAUUUGCCCCUUAAUUGGUGGCUGGUAUGAAAGGGGGUUUGGGGUUUUUCUGUGUCAAAAAAAUUUUUUGAAAUUUACUUGCCCGUGAAGAGGCGUGCAUGUAGUAAUAGGACGACAAGACCCUAGAAGCUUUACUUUAUGGGUAUUUAUUGUGAAAUUUCCUUAAGUUUUGUUGGGGCAACAGAGAUUUCUUUAUGUCAAAUUACAUUCUUGUUUUAUCCAAAUUGUUGAAAAAGAUUAGCUACUCUAGGGAUAACAGCGUUAUUUUUCUUUAUAGCUCUUAUAGAAAGAAAAGAUUGCGACCUCGAUGUUGGAUUAAGGUAUCCUGAAGAUGCAGAAGUCUUCGAGGGUUGGUCUGUUCGCCCAUUAAAACCCUUACAUGAUCUGAGUUCAGACCGGCGUGAGCUAGGUCAGUUUCUAUCCAUUUCUUAUAUUUGGUUAUUUUAGUACGAGAGGAAUUAAUAAUCUAUUAAUAAUAAUAAUUA